Molecule: ribosomal RNA, 301 nt
Filed under: uncultured bacterium
Lineage: Bacteria
Description: partial 16S ribosomal RNA
Rfam family: Bacterial small subunit ribosomal RNA
Source: RNAcentral
CAGUAGCCGCGGGAAAACGAAGGGGGCUAGCGUUGCUCGGAAUGACUGGGCGUAAAGGGCGCGUAGGCGGCGAUCAAAGUCAGGCGUGAAAUUCCUGGGCUCAACCUGGGGACUGCGCUUGAUACUUGGUUGCUUGAGUGGGGAAGAGGGUCGUGGAAUUCCCAGUGUAGAGGUGAAAUUCGUAGAUAUUGGGAAGAACACCGGUGGCGAAGGCGGCGACCUGGUCCUUGACUGACGCUGAGGCGCGAAAGCGUGGGGAGCAAACAGGAUUAGAUACCCCGGUAGUCCCUGUCUCUUAUAC